Molecule: ribosomal RNA, 440 nt
Filed under: uncultured bacterium
Lineage: Bacteria
Description: partial 16S ribosomal RNA
Rfam family: Bacterial small subunit ribosomal RNA
Source: RNAcentral
CCUACGGGGGGCAGCAGUGGGGAAUAUUGCACAAUGGGGGAAACCCUGAUGCAGCGACGCCGCGUGAAGGAAGAAGUAUUUCGGUAUGUAAACUUCUAUCAGCAGGGAAGAAAAUGACGGUACCUGACUAAGAAGCCCCGGCUAACUACGUGCAAGCAGCCGCGGUAAUACGUAGGGGGCAAGCGGUAUCCGGAUUUACUGGGUGUAAAGGGUGCGUAGGCGGUUUAGCAAGUCAGAAGUGAAAGCCCGGGGCUCAACUCCGGGACUGCUUUUGAAACUGUUGAACGAGAUUGCCGGAGAGGUAAGUGGAAUUCCUAGUGUAGCGGUGAAAUGCGUAGAUAUUAGGAGGAACACCAGUGGCGAAGGCGGCUUACUGGACUGUAAAUGACGCUGAGGCUCGAAAGCGUGGGGAGCAAACAGGAUUAGAUACCCGGGUAGUC